UAGCAGCUUUGAAAAUCUCAGUCGGGACAGCGACGCAAGAUGGCAGCCACCACGGGCUCGGACAAUUUAUGAAAACCGAAUAUACAGCCUUAAAAUAGAAUGUGGACCUAAAUACCCAGAAGCACCCCCCUUUGUAAGAUUUGUAACAAAAAUUAAUAUGAAUGGAGUUAAUAGUUCUAAUGGAGUGGUGGACCCAAGAGCCAUAUCAGUGCUAGCAAAGUGGCAGAAUUCAUAUAGCAUCAAAGUUGUUCUGCAAGAGCUGCGGCGCUUAAUGAUGUCUAAAGAGAAUAUGAAACUCCCCCAACCUCCAGAAGGACAGUGUUACAGCAAUUAAUCAAAAGCAACGCCACCAGCCCUCCCCCCAGUCUUCAUUCUCCACCCUAGUAAAUUUUCUAGAUGCGUCUUGUAGACCUCAAAAUACUGGAAAGGAAGCUCCCAUUUGAAGGCAAUUUAUCUUAAGAUACUGUAAAUGAUACUAAUUUCUUGUCCAUUUGAAAUAUAUAAGUCGUGCUAUAACAAAUCAAAAAAAAAAAAAAAAAAAGAAAAUCUCAGUCGGAGCUGGGCAUGAGGGAGCAUGCCUGUAAUGCUGGCUGCUUUGGAGGCAGGAGGAUCACAACUCAAGGACAGCCUGGACAUUUAAUGAGACCCUCUCUCAAAAGAAAAACAAAAAGGCUUAGGGAUGAG
Molecule: long non-coding RNA, 684 nt
Filed under: Marmota monax (woodchuck)
Lineage: Eukaryota; Metazoa; Chordata; Mammalia; Rodentia; Sciuridae
Source: RNAcentral